Molecule: long non-coding RNA, 692 nt
Filed under: Volvox carteri
Lineage: Eukaryota; Viridiplantae; Chlorophyta; Chlorophyceae; Chlamydomonadales; Volvocaceae
Description: long non-coding RNA (VCAR_LNC002355)
Source: RNAcentral
UGGCAACUCGUCUUACACCGUUCGCCAGUUUAUCCGUUCACUUUCUCUGUCUAUAUCCUUGUCCGUCUGUUUGUGUACCAGCUUAUCUGUCUGCUUCGGCUCGUCCGUCUGUCUGUCUGCGUGCCCAUCCGUUCUGUAUAGCAUGCGUACAUGCAUGCAAUCUGUGCCGCGGCUGCUCCUUGGGUCCGUCCUUCCCCUUCCAAUCAGCCGCUCAGGCUGUACAGUCAGGUUAGCAGGUAGGUCGUGCUGGAUGCGUGGACGAUGCUCCUUGGAGAGGAGGAAUGCAGCAAGGGUGAAAUGUUCGCAUCCUCGGGUAACCCUCGGUCAUCGACCGAACGCAUCUACCAAGUGUAACUUGACCCCCUGCCCGCAUCUCCCUGUCGUGACCCAACCCUAAGACACGAGACUGCCUGAUAGUACCUGGUCAAUGCCCUGUACGUAGGUAUGCAGUACCCUUACCUUGAUACUGUUGAUGUGCUGAAACCAGGGCACCGCGGCAAGCGCACCAGUUUGGAAGGAAGGUGAAUGAUCGGCUAGACCGCAUUACAGAAGAGGAUUGCCGGUGGCAAGAGCUGAAUUGCUGUGGCUUCCACCGUGGCUGUGUCCUAGCAAGCGAAGCAACAUUGCUGUAAGAUCUCUGAUGCCGCGUAAAGUGUGCUUUAUUAUCAGCUGCGUAAGUGCAUGGAUCGCCA